This 683-nucleotide ribosomal RNA is filed under the name Burkholderia sp. ICBR 039. RNAcentral's name for it is "bacterial SSU rRNA". It matches the Rfam family "Bacterial small subunit ribosomal RNA", at positions 8 to 682 of the family's 1533-position model. The record is from RNAcentral. Lineage: Bacteria; Pseudomonadati; Pseudomonadota; Betaproteobacteria; Burkholderiales; Burkholderiaceae.
AGAGUUUGAUCCUGGCUCAGAUUGAACGCUGGCGGCAUGCCUUACACAUGCAAGUCGAACGGCAGCACGGGUGCUUGCACCUGGUGGCGAGUGGCGAACGGGUGAGUAAUACAUCGGAACAUGUCCUGUAGUGGGGGAUAGCCCGGCGAAAGCCGGAUUAAUACCGCAUAACGAUCUUACGGAUGAAAGCGGGGGACCUUCGGGCCUCGCGCUAUAGGGUUGGCCGAAGGCUGAUUAGCUAGUUGGUGGGGUAAAGGCCCACCAAGGCGACGAAUCAGUAGCUGGUCUGAAAGGACGACCAGCCACACUGGGACUGAGACACGGCCCAGACUCCUACGGGAGGCAGCAGUGGGGAAUUUUGGACAAUGGGCGAAAGCCUGAUCCAGCAAUGCCGCGUGUGUGAAGAAGGCCUUCGGGUUGUAAAGCACUUUUGUCCGGAAAGAAAUCCUGAGGGCUAAUAUCCUUCGGGGAGACGGUACCGGAAGAAUAAGCACCGGCUAACUACGUGCCAGCAGCCGCGGUAAUACGUAGGGUGCGGGCGUUAAUCGGAAUUACUGGGCGUAAAGCGUGCGCAGGCGGUUUGUUAAGACCGAUGUGAAAUCCCCGGGCUCAACCUGGGAACUGCAUUGGUGACUGGCAAGCUAGAGUAUGGCANAGGGGGGUAGAAUUCCACGUGUAGCAGU